RNAcentral lists this ribosomal RNA (440 nucleotides) under uncultured bacterium. RNAcentral describes it as "partial 16S ribosomal RNA". It matches the Rfam family "Bacterial small subunit ribosomal RNA", at positions 338 to 795 of the family's 1533-position model. The record is from RNAcentral.
CCUACGGGUGGCAGCAGUGGGGAAUAUUGCACAAUGGGGGAAACCCUGAUGCAGCGACGCCGCGUGAGUGAAGAAGUAUCUCGGUACGUAAAGCUCUAUCAGUACGGAAGAAAAUGACGGUACCUGACUAAGAAGCCCAGGCUAACUACGUGCCAGCAGCCGCCGUAAUACGUAGGCGGCAAGCGUUAUCCGGAAUUACUGGGUGUAAAGGGAGCGUAGACGGCAGCGCAAGUCUGGAGUGAAAUCCCAUGGCUUAACCCUGGAAGUGCUUUGGAAACUGUGCAGCUAGAGUGCAGGAGGGGUAAGCGGAAUGCCUGGUGUAGCGGUGAAAUGCGUAGAGAUUAGGAGGAACACCGAUGGCGAAGGCGGCUUACUGGAGUGUAACUGACGUUGAGGCUCGAAAGCGUGGGGAGCAAACAGGAUUAGAUACCCUUGUAGUC